Molecule: long non-coding RNA, 1085 nt
Organism: Hemicordylus capensis (graceful crag lizard)
Lineage: Eukaryota; Metazoa; Chordata; Lepidosauria; Squamata; Cordylidae
Exons: 3
Source: RefSeq, a predicted model, not a curated record
CUCUCCAACCACUCUUCUUAAGAGAUACAAGGGUACUGAGCAGAUGUUUUAGCUCCCAAUAAAGGACAGAAUACGUUUGCAUGGUCACUGCACAUUCAAACUUGUAACUUUAAACUGAAGGGCUCCCAAACUGCCAAAGAUGAUUCACUCCUCCCUUUAAUUCAAUGACUUACGAAGAACCUAGAGAGAUGGGGCCUGUGGCUGACCUACCAUCUACAGCCUAAUUCUGCUCAGCUUGGGAGAGGAAGAGAUUUCUGUAUGUUCAGGGUUGCGUCAACCCUCCAGGAUCAGCAUCCAUCUCCAGGAAGGAAUCUGGCAGCGAAAAUGACAACAGAAAUCACUGAUUUUUUAAAAGUAGGGAAAUAGUCUAUCUGAUUUUGAAGAAGCAAGAUAGAAAAAGUAUUGAUGCUUUUGAACUUUAGUGCUGAGAAGACUUUUGAGGAUACCACGGACAGCCAGGAAAACAAACAAACGGAUCAUGGAACAAAUCAUUCUAGAAUUUUCACUUGAGGCACAAAUGACCAGGCUCAAACCAUCAUAACUUUGGACACAUGAUGUGAAGACCCAGCUCCUUUGAGAAGUCCAUAAUGCUGGGGAAAGUUGAAGGAAAGAGAAGAAGAGGAAAACCCGCAGCAAGGUGGAUACUCAAUUAGGACAGCAAUGAAUGCACCACUAAGGCCAGAUCAUCCUGGAAGACAGAUCAUCCUGCAGAGAAUCUAUUUAUGUGGUCACUAAGAGUCGACACAGACUUGAUGGCACUUAAUCAAUCAAUCAAUCAAUCAAUCAGGGGAACAGUCAGCAUCAGAACAAAUGUGUUAGCCAAGCAAAUUCUUGUAACACAAGCAGCUAGUUAUUCAGAUACUAUACACAGCCGCUUAAUUUUAUUCCAGUUUGAAGCUUGGUUCAUUGAAAGCUUGUCCUGCACGAUUGGAAUGAAGUAAAUUUCCCCAAUUCCUAAGCAUUCCAGUGAGGCAGAGUGCAAAACUUACCAGUGGGUUGCUUAUAUGUAGCACAUACAUCAGAGAUGCGACACUGGCAUAAACUCAGUUUGUUUUCAUAUUGCCAGGUGAAACUUUUGAGCUGGA